Molecule: ribosomal RNA, 900 nt
Filed under: uncultured bacterium
Lineage: Bacteria
Also listed under: 1 other name
Description: bacterial SSU rRNA
Rfam family: Bacterial small subunit ribosomal RNA
Source: RNAcentral
GGAUCCAGACUUUGAUUUUGGCUCACGAUGAACGCUAGCUACAGGCUUAACACAUGCAAGUCGAGGGGCAGCGGGAUUGAAGCUUGCUUCAAUUGCCGGCGACCGGCGCACGGGUGAGUAACGCGUAUCCAACCUUCCGUACACUCAGGGAUAGCCUUUCGAAAGAAAGAUUAAUACCUGAUGGUAUGAUGAGAUUGCAUGAUAGCAUCAUUAAAGAUUUAUCGGUGUACGAUGGGGAUGCGUUCCAUUAGGUAGUAGGCGGGGUAACGGCCCACCUAGCCGACGAUGGAUAGGGGUUCUGAGAGGAAGGUCCCCCACAUUGGAACUGAGACACGGUCCAAACUCCUACGGGAGGCAGCAGUGAGGAAUAUUGGUCAAUGGACGAGAGUCUGAACCAGCCAAGUAGCGUGAAGGAUGAAGGUCCUACGGAUUGUAAGCUUCUUUUAUAAGGGAAUAAACCCUUCCACGUGUGGGAGCUUGUAUGUACCUUAUGAAUAAGCAUCGGCUAACUCCGUGCCAGCAGCCGCGGUAAUACGGAGGAUGCGAGCGUUAUCCGGAUUUAUUGGGUUUAAAGGGAGCGCAGACGGGUCGUUAAGUCAGCUGUGAAAGUUUGGGGCUCAACCUUAAAAUUGCAGUUGAUACUGGCGUCCUUGAGUGCGGUUGAGGUGUGCGGAAUUCGUGGUGUAGCGGUGAAAUGCUUAGAUAUCACGAAGAACUCCGAUUGCGAAGGCAGCACACUAAGCCGUAACUGACGUUCAUGCUCGAAAGUGUGGGUAUCAAACAGGAUUAGAUACCCUGGUAGUCCACACGGUAAACGAUGGAUACUCGCUGUUGGCGAUAUACUGUCAGCGGCUUAGCGAAAGCGUUAAGUAUCCCACCUGGGGAGUACGCCGGCAACGG